RNAcentral lists this microRNA (23 nucleotides) under Caenorhabditis briggsae. RNAcentral's name for it is "Cbr-Mir-36-o14_5p* (star (passenger))". Lineage: Eukaryota; Metazoa; Nematoda; Chromadorea; Rhabditida; Rhabditidae. The record is from RNAcentral.
CCCUGAUUCUUGCUGCAGUGAUA